This 964-nucleotide ribosomal RNA is filed under the name Pectobacterium carotovorum subsp. carotovorum. RNAcentral's name for it is "bacterial SSU rRNA". It matches the Rfam family "Bacterial small subunit ribosomal RNA", at positions 89 to 1049 of the family's 1533-position model. Lineage: Bacteria; Pseudomonadati; Pseudomonadota; Gammaproteobacteria; Enterobacterales; Pectobacteriaceae. The record is from RNAcentral.
UGACGAGCGGCGGACGGGUGAGUAAUGUAUGGGUACCUGCCCGAUGGAGGGGGAUAACUACUGGAAACGGUGGCUAAUACCGCAUAAUCUCGCAGGAGCAAAGAGGGGGACCUUCGGGCCUUGCGCCAUCAGAUGCUCCCAGAUGGGAUUAGCUAGUAGGUCAGGUAAUGGCUUACCUAGGCGACGAUCCCUAGCUGGUCUGAGAGGAUGAGCAGCCACACUGGGACUGAGACACGGCCCAGACUCCUACGGGAGGCAGGAGUGGGGAAUAUUGCACAGUGGGCGCAAGCCUGUUGCAGCCAUGCCGCGUCUAUGAAGAAGGCCCCUGGGUUGUAAAGUACUUUCAGCGAGGAGGAAGGCGUUAAUGUUAAUACCAUUAACGAUUGACGUUACUCGCAGAAGAAGCACCGGCUAACUCCGUGCCAGCAGCCGCGGUAAUACGGAGGGUGCAAGCGUUAAUCGGAAUGACUGGGCGUAAAGCGCACGCAGGCGGUUAAUUAAGUUGGAUGUGAAAUCCCCGGGCUUAACCUGGGAACGGCAUUCAAAACUGACAGGCUAGAGUCUUGUAGAGGGGGGUAGAAUUCCAGGUGUAGCGGUGAAAUGCGUAGAGAUCUGGAGGAAUACCGGUGGCGAAGGCGGCCCCCUGGACAAAGACUGACGCUCAGGUGCGAAAGCGUGGGGAGCAAACAGGAUUAUAUACCCUGGUAGUCCACGCUGUAAACGAUGUCGAUUUGGAGGUUGUGCCCUAGAGGCGUGGCUUCCGGAGCUAACGCGUUAAAUCGACCGCCUGGGGAGUACGGCCGCAAGGUUAAAACUCAAAUGAAUUGACGGGGGCCCGCACAAGCGGUGGAGCAUGUGGUUUAAUUCGAUGCAACGCGAAGAACCUUACCUACUCUUGACAUCCAGAGAAUUUUCUAGAGAUAGCUGAGUGCCUUCGGGAACUCUGAAACAGGUGCUGCAUGGC